Molecule: transfer RNA, 89 nt
Filed under: Candidatus Omnitrophota bacterium
Lineage: Bacteria; Pseudomonadati; Candidatus Omnitrophota
Description: tRNA-Leu
Rfam family: tRNA
About the family: Transfer RNA (tRNA) molecules are approximately 80 nucleotides in length. Their secondary structure includes four short double-helical elements and three loops (D, anti-codon, and T loops). Further hydrogen bonds mediate the characteristic L-shaped molecular structure. tRNAs have two regions of fundamental functional importance: the anti-codon, which is responsible for specific mRNA codon recognition, and the 3' end, to which the tRNAs corresponding amino acid is attached (by aminoacyl-tRNA synthetases). tRNAs cope with the degeneracy of the genetic code in two manners: having more than one tRNA (with a specific anti-codon) for a particular amino acid; and 'wobble' base-pairing, i.e. permitting non-standard base-pairing at the 3rd anti-codon position.
Source: RNAcentral
GCCGGGAUGGUGGAACUGGCAAACACUCGAGACUUAAAAUCUCGCGGGUGGUAACACCCUUGGGGGUUCAACUCCCCCUCCCGGCACCA